Molecule: ribosomal RNA, 429 nt
Filed under: uncultured archaeon
Lineage: Archaea
Description: bacterial SSU rRNA
Rfam family: Archaeal small subunit ribosomal RNA
Source: RNAcentral
UACCUGCAGCUCGAGUGGUGAUCGUUAUUAUUGGGCCUAAAACGUCCGUAGCCGGUCUUGUAAAUGCCUGGGUAAAUCGUAUGGCUUAACCAUACGAAUUCCGGGUAGACUGUUAGACUUGAGACCGGGAGAAGCUAGAGGUACUCCUGGGGUAGAGGUGAAAUUCUGUAAUCCUAGGGGGACCACCAGUGGCGAAGGCGUCUAGCUAGAACGGGUCUGACGGUGAGGGACGAAGCCCUGGGGCGCAAACGGGAUUAGAUACCCCGGUAGUCCAGGGUGUAAACGCUGCUUGCUUGAUGUUAGUCUGGCUCCGAGCCAGAUUAGUGUCGGAGAGAAGUUGUUAAGCAAGCUGCCUGGGAAGUACGGCCGCAAGACUAAAACUUAAAGGAAUUGGCGGGGGAGCACAGCAACGGGUGGAGCGUGCGGUUU